Molecule: ribosomal RNA, 429 nt
Filed under: Verrucomicrobiota bacterium
Lineage: Bacteria; Pseudomonadati; Verrucomicrobiota
Description: Verrucomicrobia bacterium partial 16S ribosomal RNA
Rfam family: Bacterial small subunit ribosomal RNA
Source: RNAcentral
UAGGGAAUCUUCCGCAAUGGACGAAAGUCUGACGGAGCAACGCCGCGUGGGUGAAGAAGGAUUUCGGUUCGUAAAACUCUGUUGUUAGGGAAGAAAAAAUGUAUAGUAACUAUAUACAAAAGAGACGGUACCUAACCAGAAAGCCACGGCUAACUACGUGCCAGCAGCCGCGGUAAUACGUAGGUGGCAAGCGUUGUCCGGAAUUAUUGGGCGUAAAGCGCGCGCAGGUGGUUUAGAAAGUCUGAUGUGAAAGCCCACGGCUCAACCGUGGAGGGUCAUUGGAAACUAAUAAACUUGAGUGCAGGAGAGAAAAGUGGAAUUCCUAGUGUAGCGGUGAAAUGCGUAGAGAUUAGGAGGAACACCGGUGGCGAAAGCGGCUUUUUGGCCUGCAACUGACACUGAGGCGCGAAAGCGUGGGGAGCAAACAGG